This is a non-coding RNA of Equus caballus (horse), 4914 nucleotides long. The record is from RefSeq and is a predicted model, not a curated record. Lineage: Eukaryota; Metazoa; Chordata; Mammalia; Perissodactyla; Equidae.
CCCGCCCACACGCUGGCCCCGCCCCCUUCGCCGGCACAGGAACCCCUACAGGCUCCAGAGGCCCUGAGCGCGCCCCCUACGAGGCUUGUUCUCUGGCGUCUCUGAUUGGCCAGCUCCCUUCGCGCAGACUAGCGUCCUUUCGGCUGCUGGGUAGCUCCUCUUCCCUCGCUGGGCGAGGCUCUAAAGCCCAUGUGCAGCACAUUGAGGAUCUUCCGAUCGGUCUUCGCUGAUGCUUUUCUCGUUUCCCUCUAAGGGCGAGAUCACUGGGAAAGGAGCUGAUGCUGGUGGAAUCUUCAGGUGAUGAAGAUGGAGACUCCAGGUCUGAGUCGGCUGGAAAUAAAAAGAGACUCCCUGCAUUAGAGACCAUCCACAGGGCAUCCUUGGAAGCUGUGACCUGAAGGUGGACAAGCCACAGGAUGGAAGGAGCUGCAUCUCUAAGUCACCAGUGAAGAACAGUCACCCUCAAUGGAGAAAACCAAAGCCAUCAGGAGGAACUCCACCAACAUGGAAUCCAACGUAUUGAUUGUUACGUCUUGCGGAAAUAUGGGAGACAGGUGACGAAAGUUCUGUCUUAAGGACUGGGAGGGUUUUGUUUGGUUUAGUAGCUGGAAGACAAAGAAAUAUGAGGCUUAAUAAGCUUUCUGAGUUCACCUGAUAAUGUGUGAGCUGUCAGUAUUUCAGACUAGCAUUGUCUUUGUGAGUUAUGUAACAAUUCAAAUAAUAUUUCACAAACCUUCAAAUGAGUUGAAACCUAAAUGUGUCAUAUUUGAUAACAAAAGCAGAAAGCAUAUUUAUAAUAUAGGAUGGCUCUCACUUUUUUUUGGAUAACAGUAUGAGAGGAAAAUGCAUUUGCUUGGGAACUUUUCAAUAUUUAGCCUAACAAUUCUAGCCAACACAGAAAUCUGCUGAUAUUAAAGUAAAAGCAUGCAUUUUGGGGAAAAAAAAUCGGGUGGUUGUCUUAGCUAUUUUAUUUCUUACACUUGUAUAUAAUAAAUAAAAAUUUAAACAAACUUGAGGGGAGCAUUUUAUUUCUACUCACAACUACUUUAACGUUAUGGGCUAAUCUCUUAAAUCAUAUAUAGUUUACAGCUUUAUAAGUUAGGAAAUUCUGAUAAAAUCAAUACAGUAAUAAAAUGAAAAUUCAUAAAUGCCCAUAACUUUGGAACAUAUUUUAAGAUACCAAUUCUAAAGGAGCCAAUAUCUAAUUUCAGAAAUACAUUAAUUGUAAAAUUAAUUAGGUCAGUUGAAAUAUUCUGGAAUUCCUUCAAACAAAACAAAUGAGUGACUAAAUUUAGUCAUACUAAGAAGUUUGAAGAAUUAUGCAGUAUAACAAAUGAUUAUUAUGAAUACAUAGUAAUCUAGGAAAAAUGGUUAAGUGGAAAAAGCAAAACAUAAAAUUGAAUAUGUACUAUGACAAACUAUGGAAAAUAUGUUUACAGAUUUAUAAAAAUUAGAAUUUAAUGUAGAUAAAAAGUUUUUUGAACGGUAGCCUUUUUCUCUAAAUACUUAGGAAUAGUGGACAUGAUUGUUAUUCCAGCUUUAGCCUCCUCUAAUUCUGUGGGCAGCUGCCAUCAGCCACAGGUCUCCCUCUGCUGGGCAAAUCUGGGGACACACGGACAAAUCCUCAUCCCAUAAUUCCUUCUCUCUUUGUGCUAGGUGAAUACUUCCCUUUGGGUUUCCAUGCUCUGCCCUCUUGAAGCCCUGACUGUGACACUGGAGUGUCACCCCUGGUUCACUUGUAGUCUAGACGUAUCAGCUCAUUGUCUCUAGGAAGGCUCCUGUUAGCUGCAAGUCUCAUUCUGAGUUUUACCUUUUAAAAUCAUUCUCAGUAUACAUCCUGGAGUAGACUCUAGGUGCGCUGGGUGCAACUGGGAAGGCCUCUGAUUUAUUAGUGGAGAUAGAGGAUGAGAAACAAUAGUGGGCUGGAGAAAGGGGGUUGCUGAGAUGGAGGGAAACUGCCUGGAAACUCAGAGAGGAUAGAGAUGAAAACAAGCAGCAUGUACUGAAUAUGCACAAAGGGGUUUUAAUCUAUCCUGUACCGUGGAAAGGUGAGCUCCUGCAAACAGUGAUAGUUUCUUUCCCUAAGAUAAGUUCCCUUUUUUUUUAAUUGAGAGUUUAACAGCAUUUCUAAAGGAAAUAUUGUCCUAUAAACUGGAGGAGGGCCAAAUUAGGAUUCCAACAGGAAAAAGUUAAAGCAAAAGGUUUAACUGGAAAGAAUAUAAUGAAAGGACUAUUUACAAAGGUACGGACAGGGCUAAAGGGAACCACAAGGGAUGAUGAGGCAGCCUGAGACCAGCAACAGUUGCAGUCUGAGAGCACCCUGUGCUGGGGAUGAAGAUCUGGUCUCUUCUGUCCUCUGCAGAGUGAUGCUGGAGCUAGGACUCUGCACAGCACACAUCUGCUUUGUCAGCAGCCUCCCGCUAGUCCCUGCCAAGAGGAGACACUGGAGGGCUGGAAGGGGGAGAUAGCACUUCCCAUUUACUACCUGUUUACUUUCUUGUUUGUGACAUCACCACAGCAAGUGUUCUUCCCCUUGGCAGCAAGAGUUGAAUCCAUUAACAGUACUCAGCUCCAAUCUGUAAACCUGUGCUCCUAAAGUCUGCCUGAUGGUGCCUCUACAGACUUACCAACACCAGUGGUCCAGCAUCUGCUCCUCAGAGGUUUGGGUCCUAGUUCUGGAAGUCUUUUCAAAGAAUCUUCUCUUUGUUCUCUCAACCCUAGAGGUGGUAGCUGCUUCCCACUGUUACUAUCUUUGUGAUACUUCAGGCCCCCUUUUGCCUUUUUUGUCCUUUAUAACUGAUUAACAACCAUUUACAUAAAAUUCUUUAUGGUGAAUUUCAGCAGACCGACACACCCUUAGACCUACCUGUGCCAUGUAUAUUGGACAUCUCAGGGUCUGUCACAGGCCAUCUACUCUUUUCGCUCUAUAGGAAAUCACAUUCAACAUAUGAUCUGACACCAUCCCUGCUCUCCAUAUCAGCUGCUCUUUCAGUGUUCCCAUUCUUCAUGAAGGAAUGUUCCGAUCACCUGCUUGCUCCAGUUAAAACCAUGGUAUUAUCCUUGACUGUGCCACCCUUCUCAUCCUCACAUCUAAGCUGUUGAUUCUACCUCCUAAUGAUCUCUUAAACCCAUCUAUUUCUAACUUCACUGCUACCCUCCUGCUCUAAUCAUAUAUCAUCUUUCCUGGCAUCACUGUGACUUUUUCUUGCCUCCAGUUCUGCCUCACUCAACCCAUUCACUCCACAGCUAAAUUGUGGAUGUGUGCUUCUGAACUAUCAAUGAAUGUAGCCAAAGAAACGUGUAAUAUAGAUCAAUGAUCCCAACACUAAGAAAACAAUGUUGAUCAAUAAAUAAUUGGUGAAUAAUGAAUGACAACAUAUAGCAAAGUAUUCAACAGGUUUUAUAAGCUGUGGGUUCAGUAAAUGUUUAUGAAACUUGUUCAGGGCCUUGAAAGAUGUGCAGUUCUUUGGAUUUUAAAGAAAAGGAGAGAAGAGAUUUCAGAUGAGAACAAAAAUACGUGACAUCAAACAAUAUUUGUGAUUGUUUUUUGGGGUGGGGGGCGUGUUACGGUGUGAAAGCUCCCAGCCUGGAUGGUUUUCAGAUUCAAGUGCUGAGGCCAGCGUGCAGCUGGACACCCAAGUCAUGGUCUUGGUCUCCAAUUCCAGUGAAGGCCUCAGGCUUGAAAGCUGCCAAGGGGCAGCUGUGCUCCUGGUGCCAGGCGUUGGGAAUAGGAGAAAGAACACUCCUUGGAAGUCUCACUGCCGUAAGAGGUGCCCUUCAGGUAUCUAAAGUCCUGUGUUAAGGAGGUCUUUGUGUUCUGGGGAAGGAGGCCCUUCUUGAUUGAUAGAACAAAGCUUUUAGGCAAGGAGCUGCACCACAUCUGGAUGUGAACCCAGGAGGCCUCCCUGAGAGCAGGCUAAAGCUCUCAAGGACAUUCAGGGAGACUUCCACCCUGUUCUGUGUGUACCUUCCUCUCCACGAGGAUGUGCUAAAGUGAAGAUACAAUUUCCCACGUGUUAAAGUAAGAUCAUAGACUAACUGCUUCCCAUGUUCUCCUUAGUCUCAAGCUCUUAACACUCUAGAUGGUGGUUAUUUCCUUCUCUCAGGGAACUUUGGGGCUCCUGGUCUUCAUGUGUAAAUAUGCUCUAUUAUCUUCCAAAGUUGCAAUGUGCAUUGAAAGUUCUAUGAGUCCUUCAAUAAAUGACUGACCCUAAGGGUAGUUGGGAAGCCUCCAAAUUUGCAAUUGGUGUCAGAAGUGAGGGCAGUCUUGGGGACUAUGUACUGUUCCUCUAACUUCAUAAGAAUAUAAUAAGAUCUUCAUGCCCUUGAGAUAGAGGAUGAUUUCUUAAAAGACAUAAAAAAAGCUCUAAUAUAAAGAAACAGUAUAAUUAGUUGAAGUAAAUUAAAUGAACUUUUAUUCAUCAAGAUAUCCUUGAAAGAGUAAAAGGACAAGUCACAGAGUAGGAGGAGAUGCCUGCAACACAUAUAUGGACAAAGAGCUUGUGCCCAGAAUUAGAGAAAAACAACUAUUUUAAACCAGUGAAAACCCAAAAAUAACCUGUUACAGACUGAAUUGUGUUCUUCUUGAAAUUCAUAUGUUGGAACCCUAACCUGCAAUGUGAUUGUAUUUGGAGAUAUAGGCCCUUUGGGAGGUUAUUAAGGUUAAAUGAGGUCAUAUGGGUAGGGCCCUAAUCUGAUAGUGCUGGUGUCCUUAUAAGAGGUGGAAGACACCAGAUUCCUCCCACUCUGUCUCCCCAGAUGCACAAAGAAGAGUGUACAUGAGGACACAGUGAGAAGGCGGCCAUCGGCAAGACAAGAAGAGAGCUCUCAUCAGAAACCAAAUCUGUCAGCACUUUGAUUUGGGACUUCUAGCCUCUGGAUCUGUGAAAAAAUAAAUCUCUGUUGUUUAAGCCA